UCAACUCACGAUACCGACCCUGACAUUUCUUCACAAGUUUAAUACUAUCUAGUUUCGGGAAGUGUCCACUACUGCAUACAACCUACUACCUUACUAAUAAGACAAGACCACGAACGAAACUGAACCCACAAGUCUCUUCAUUUUGAAACUUGAUUGCAGAAAUCACUUCGUUGUAUAACAUAGACUUCACUUUGAAAGAGAAACUAUGCCUCUACGCUCGUAGUUUGAUUGUAGGUAGAUUUCUAUUCUAACGGUUAUAUUUAGCUACUACGUACCGAGCCUUCAACCAACGUUUUAGUGCUUCCACCGAUGAUGAGCUAUCAAAAUCUAAUCCAAUAAUCUUACAGUAAGUCCAGUUACAAAGUUUGUAAUACAAAAUCUACCGACCGUACAACUAGCGUUCCAACUCUUAGUCUGAUGAUGAUCUAUCAAAGUGUAUGACAUUAGAAACAUAGUACGAGAAACAUUUCGUUGGCUC
Molecule: ribosomal RNA, 478 nt
Filed under: Triticum aestivum (bread wheat)
Lineage: Eukaryota; Viridiplantae; Streptophyta; Magnoliopsida; Poales; Poaceae
Description: partial small subunit ribosomal RNA
Source: RNAcentral